CACAAGGGGACCUUCCCUAAUUUCUCUUCAGCAGCGACGCACUUCCCUCUUGCUUCUCCAUUCCUUCUAUGCACUUACCUCUUGCUCCUCCAUUCCUUCUACUUCUCAAAACAUAUCAGAAAAACCCUCCCAAAAAAUUAGAGACCGAGCAGCUAAAACAAGCGAAGAACAGACCCCUCCUCCCUCCCGCCGUUCCUUCUUCUUUUGACUAGCUUCAUCAACCUGCGCAAAAAAAGGGAGGAAGACACACGCACACACACACGUGCGUCAUUUCAACAGUUAUGUUGUGAGCUGCCGAGUUGAGUAAUUGUUGAAGCUGCUGCUGAAGUUUAGCUCGAUACCGUUAGCUGCUGUUACCUUUUGCUCAUUUUCUCUAUUUCAAGGUACUAUUCACCCACUCAACUAUGUAAUUUUCACUAUCAAAUGAAUCUAAUGAUAUAGUUUUGAGCAUGUGAAAUUAUGUGUUGUUCUCGUUGGCUAAUUUAUGUUAUCAUUAAUUCUGCUAUGCCGUGAUUUCAUUGGAGUGUGAAAGAGUUCAUAGACCUGACCAUUAAUUGUCAGAUAUGUAAAUUUUAAGACCAAAAAUUUUUCUAUCCUCUUCUGGUAAUUAAUGUUUCAAUAAGAGCAUGACCAGGACAUAAUUAAUUAA
Molecule: non-coding RNA, 649 nt
Organism: Nicotiana tabacum (common tobacco)
Lineage: Eukaryota; Viridiplantae; Streptophyta; Magnoliopsida; Solanales; Solanaceae
Source: RefSeq, a predicted model, not a curated record